Leopardus geoffroyi (Geoffroy's cat) is the source of this 1511-nucleotide long non-coding RNA. RefSeq lists it as uncharacterized. The record is from RefSeq and is a predicted model, not a curated record. The transcript has 3 exons. Lineage: Eukaryota; Metazoa; Chordata; Mammalia; Carnivora; Felidae.
GAUCCGCAGAUACCAGAAAAGAACCAAGAGUUCCUUAAUUACCGGCUGGAUAAUGGGAACACGGCCUCUCCUAGAGUGAAUGUUUUGCUUCUUGCCUCCUCCACCACCUCCCCUUCCCCAACAACACUGGAAGCAGUUAUUCCUCUGUGCUAUUUCCAGAGUCCCGGGCCUAGCGGAGGAAAAGGGAGGGGCCCUGGUGGAAAGACGGAGGGAGACGCGUUGAGCUCCUCCCCCUGCCCAGCUGCAGUUCCAGAGUUUCGCCACUCUGGGUCUCCCGAGCUCAACCACAGCCCCAGAGUAAGAAAGGAAGAGAGAGAACCUCCAGAGGACAGCGUGAGACGUCAUUGACAACCCUGCUCAGAGAGGUGACCUGGAGGUCAUCUGCUCUGAAGCUGCAGACCCUUCGCAUGGCCGUUGGGAAGGCAUCCAGCCUCAACCCUUCUCUCUAAAAAGGAUUUGUGGCGCUGGGAACUAGCUCCCCACCUCUUACCCUCACCCUCUUCUCUGUGGUCAUUUCCUCCCCCGCGUGUUUCCUUCCCUUCUCGCUGUCCUCUGGGUGGGAGCACCACCACUAUCUCCCCCCAACCCCCCAGCCUGUCAGAGUCCUGAGGAAUGCUCUCACCCUGGCUGGGUGCCAGGCUGUGGACUUCCUGGGCUUUGGGGGUGGGGCUUGGCGGAGGGGAAGCCCUUUGGAGAGAGAGAGCCAUCCAGUCCGGCACUGCCUGCGUGCUCUCCCUCCCCUUCAUGAGCUCGGGCUCGUUCGCUCACACGCCCUCUCUCCCUCCCUCCCCCCCCCCCCCCCCCCCCCCAGCUAAGUAAAAGGCUCAUCUAAUCUAUCAUUCUCUGUCACCACCACCUAAUUUCUCCCCCUACAAUAGCAUUUCCUUGCCAGGGCAAAACAUCCACAAUCUGGAGGCGAUGGGCAUGCUAAAUAUGUGGUUUACAGUGAGAGAGAGGGAAAACACCUAUUUCAGAACCUGCCUUCCUGUGCCAGGAGCCUGUAGCUGGAAGGAGAGGUUCACCUGCCAGGGUCCUGAGGCUCAAGGACAGACAACAGGUCGUUGCCAGACCUGGACCUGGAAGAGAAAACCACCAGUAGGCUCCAGCAGCAAUAUAGCAAAGGUUGGACAAGAUGGCUUUGGCAUAGCAUGUGCUGGCUGCCACCACCCCCAACCCGGGAGGAAGUCCCCCAUGCCAGAAAGAGGAUGAUCUGAGACCUAGUCUUCCACUGCCAAGGACAGCCCAUGUACCUCCUGGAUCCUGUGAUGUGAGUGGGAUCCUGGGCUCUGGAAGGAGAAUCCUCCUUCCAGUUCCCCAAAGCAUCUACUGCAGAAGCAUUGGCCUAGGAUGGUGGAUGACUCUCGAAGGACUAUACUUAGAAGUACACAUUGCUCAAGCAGGUAAAUGGAGAAGUGGGAUGUUAUUCCUAAGUAGUUUGUACACAAUUUCUUUAGAGGUCUUCCCCACUCUCAUUGAACUAAUCCAUUCUUUUUCAUUUUUUUAAUUAAAAU